This 305-nucleotide ribosomal RNA is filed under the name uncultured Oscillibacter sp. Its description in RNAcentral is "bacterial SSU rRNA". It matches the Rfam family "Bacterial small subunit ribosomal RNA", at positions 505 to 807 of the family's 1533-position model. The record is from RNAcentral. Lineage: Bacteria; Bacillati; Bacillota; Clostridia; Eubacteriales; Oscillospiraceae.
GUGCCAGCCGCCGCGGUAAUACGUAGGUGGCAAGCGUUGUCCGGAUUUACUGGGUGUAAAGGGCGUGUAGCCGGGUCGGCAAGUCAGAUGUGAAAUCUGGAGGCUCAACCUCCAAACUGCAUUUGAAACUGUUGGUCUUGAGUAUCGGAGAGGUAAUCGGAAUUCCUAGUGUAGCGGUGAAAUGCGUAGAUAUUAGGAAGAACACCAGUGGCGAAGGCGGAUUACUGGACGACAACUGACGGUGAGGCGCGAAAGACGUGGGGAGGCAAACAGGAUUAGAUACCUCGGUAGUCCACGCUGUAACG